GGUCAUGCUGUGAAGCUCUGGUUGGAGAAGCUUGAGGACAUAGCUCAUCUUGCUGAUGAUCUAUUGGAUGACUAUGGAUAUGAGCUUCUUCGGCGUAAGGUUGAACUGCAAAACCAGAUGAAGAAAAAGGUAAUGAACAUCUUGUCUCUUGCCAAUCCUGUUGUGUUUCGUGGUAAAAUGGCACAUAAAAUUAAGAAGAUCAACACCUCUCUGGAUGAGCUGAAAAAAGAUGCAAGUACUAUUGGGUUAGUUGCUAAGUCCUCAUUAGAGUCAACAAUCUCCCAUGAUAGAAGAAUAGAUAGGGAAACCUACUCUGAAUUCAAAAAAGAUGAAAACAAUAUCGUUGGAAGGAAGGAUAUUGUGGAAGAUGUAGUGAAAGCCCUGACCAACUUAAACAACUAUCAAGGACAUGAUCUUUCCGUUAUGGCCAUCGUGGGAAUGGGGGGACUUGGAAAGACCACUUUGGCUAAAGCUGUAUAUAAUGAUGGUAAGAUACAGCAACACUUCCAAGAACAACUGUGGGUUUGUGUAUCUACCUCUUUCGAAGUCAACUUUAUUUUAAAGAGGAUCUUAGAGUCUCUUAAACCUGAGCACGCUGCAGUCGAAGCUAGAGAUGCAAUAUGUAAAAACCUCAAAAAAGAAAUGAAAGAUAAAAGGUAUCUUCUUG
RNAcentral lists this long non-coding RNA (667 nucleotides) under Fragaria vesca (wild strawberry). RNAcentral describes it as "long non-coding RNA (FVES_LNC003368)". Lineage: Eukaryota; Viridiplantae; Streptophyta; Magnoliopsida; Rosales; Rosaceae. The record is from RNAcentral.